CUUUUGUGGACAGGACAAUGUGGUGUUACGGUGUGCUCCUGGGAGCGCCUGCCUACUCGAAGUCCAUCUCCGAUUCUGGCUUGGACUUAGCCCAUAGCGGGUGAAAGGCCCGUGCGGGUAGGCAUUGUGCAAUUUGCGCUCCUCAGAUGUGCAUAUCCUCGAGUCGGAUUGCUUGAGAAUGCAGUCCAAAGAGGGUGGUAAACUCCAUCCAAGGCUAAAUACUGGCACGAGUCCGAUAGUAGACAAGUACCGUGAGGGAAAGUUGAAAAGUACUCUGAAGAGAGAGUAAAGAGCACGUGAAACCGCUUGCAGGGAAGCUGGUGGAGUCAAGCUUCAUGCAUUAUGAAUUGCUGCAAGGAUUAUGUUGUUAAUGGGAUACUAUCGGUUAACCUGGAAAUGGUUUGCUGCAUGCGAGUGCAGUACAAGUCAUACUGGGCUGUUUGUUUGUGCCGAGAGUUUUCCCUUGAUCCUCGUGGUUUAUUUGUAUUGCAUACAUCACGGUCAAUGGUGUAAUUGUGCUGUGUGAGUAUCUAACUGUGCCUUUGUGGAUGUCAAAGUCUGCGGGGCAUGGAAUGGCAGAAGGCAUGUACUAGCUUUUCGUUGGUACUAUGCGUAUUAUGGUUUUGACCUGCUGAUGCUCAUGUACAGUAUCGUUCCCAUUGUUCAUGUACGAGUUUUGCUUUACGGAGCUAAGCUCACUGAUAACCGUGGUGCUGAGGUAGACCCUUCCACC
Molecule: ribosomal RNA, 733 nt
Filed under: Dactylogyroides tripathii
Lineage: Eukaryota; Metazoa; Platyhelminthes; Monogenea; Dactylogyridea; Dactylogyridae
Description: eukaryotic LSU rRNA
Rfam family: Eukaryotic large subunit ribosomal RNA
Source: RNAcentral